This is a long non-coding RNA of Cryptomeria japonica (Japanese cedar), 485 nucleotides long. RefSeq lists it as uncharacterized. NCBI's taxonomy places the organism in Eukaryota, Viridiplantae, Streptophyta, Pinopsida, Cupressales, Cupressaceae. The record is from RefSeq and is a predicted model, not a curated record. The transcript is spliced from 2 exons.
GCGACCUUGCAUGUUGAGUUGAUACUCGAGCUAGGAUUUGAAAGUUCAGACUUUCUUUGCAUUCUUUUGGGUUAUAAUAUAGAAUUUAGUGGCUUUUUCCUUCUUUUCCCCUCUUUAUGCACACAUGCCAAGUUCUGAUAUGGAUCUAGGGCUCAUACUUUUGCUUGAACAGAGGGUUUUUUCUGCAAAAUCUCAUACUCGGGUUUGCAUGCAGUGCAGGCACACUAGGAGUGGCAUUGUGUAUGUAGCAGUGAAAGGAAUAACCUGGAGCUCUAACAAACCAUUUUAUCUCUCUCUUUCAGGUCAUCACAUGGAGUGGAUAAUGGAAUGCUUGGAUCAACAAAACUGGUCAGAAGAAUCUUCUUCAGAACUCAUCAAUAUAUCUAGGGAAUGAUGGGUUAUUUCUUUUCCUUCUUCAUACAUUCUUCUUCUUCUUUUGUGUUUACAUUUCUAUGAUCAAUGAGAUCUUUUCUCAGUUAUUCUCA